AUGCAGGGGCAGAUUGGUGGGGGGUGGGAUACCUCAACGAAGCCUCCAAGAAGUAGUUCGACGCCGCGGCAUCGUCGUCGUUGUGGCCGCCGCCGGCGGCCAAGGGUUUCCCCCGGUCCCAGGAGCCCCACCGCCAAAACACCGCCAACCGCCGGAUCCGGCGAGCAGAGUCGCACCGGAGCUGAGAUCGAACGGGAGAAGGCGAGGAGGGUGGAGUUGGAGCUGGUCGAAUCAGAUCUGGAGGCGGACCGACGGAGGAAAUCCGGCCACCGCGAGAUCCAUCCACCGGGGCCUCGCCGCCCAAGCAAGCCGAGGUGCCCAGCCGAGCACCCGUAG
RNAcentral lists this ribosomal RNA (336 nucleotides) under Triticum aestivum (bread wheat). Its description in RNAcentral is "partial small subunit ribosomal RNA". The record is from RNAcentral. Lineage: Eukaryota; Viridiplantae; Streptophyta; Magnoliopsida; Poales; Poaceae.